RNAcentral lists this long non-coding RNA (623 nucleotides) under Equus asinus (donkey). RNAcentral describes it as "lncRNA (ENSEASG00005027991.1)". The record is from RNAcentral. Lineage: Eukaryota; Metazoa; Chordata; Mammalia; Perissodactyla; Equidae.
CAGGACUCGGCGUGAAUGACUCAGCUCCGACCGGGAAUCUCCCCUCGUUCAGUGCACACGUGAACCUUCAGGGAAAUUCACAGAAAACUCGGGGAGAGUGCUGUGAGGUCAUUCGUGCUCUGCCUGGCACAUGAAUGGAAGCCAAGCGUCCACAUUCAGGCUGCCCAGGGCCGCACUCCAAACAGCCGGCUGUCGCUGACAGAUGAACACAGGUGUGUUCUUCAGGCUUCUAGACUUUGGAGGGGCCCCAUGGGUUUGCUCCUGGAGGGCACCCUCCCCGUGGGCAUCUCUCUUGGCUCCAAACAUCCCAAGGGAGGUAGAUGACUUAUUACCAGCAGGGAAAGCAGUGGUCAAUUCUUUUCUCUUUUUCAUUCAUGUUUAUUACACAAGUAAGCCUUUGUCAAAUCCAACCCAAAUUCAUUGGAAAAAAAAUUAGAAAAUCCAGACAAAAAUGAAAGUUAAAACCAGCCAUAAUCUCAUGAUUUCGAGGUAAGUAUUCUGAAGCAGAUCCUUGCAUUUUUCCUAUGGUAUAUAUACACUCACGUAUAUUUCUUUUACAGGAUUUGGAUCAUGCUAUACACCAUAUUAUAACUUGGGAUUUUCUUUCACUUAAUAGAUUGUGA